UACGUAGGGCGCAAGCGUUGUCCGGAAUUAUUGGGCGUAAAGAGCUCGUAGGCGGUUUGUCGCGUCUGUCGUGAAAGCUUGGGGCUUAACCCCAAGUCUGCGGUGGAUACGGGCAGACUAGAGGCAGGUAGGGGAGAACGGAAUUCCCGGUGUAGCGGUGAAAUGCGCAGAUAUCGGGAGGAACACCGGUGGCGAAGGCGGUUCUCUGGGCCUGUACUGACGCUGAGGAGUGAAAGCGUGGGGAGCGAACAGG
RNAcentral lists this ribosomal RNA (253 nucleotides) under uncultured bacterium. RNAcentral's name for it is "partial 16S ribosomal RNA". It matches the Rfam family "Bacterial small subunit ribosomal RNA", at positions 524 to 776 of the family's 1533-position model. The record is from RNAcentral.